UGGUUCUGGCAUNGAUGAAGAACGCAGCGAAAUGCGAUAAGUAAUGUGAAUUGCAGAAUUCAGUGAAUCAUCGAAUCUUUGAACGCACAUUGCGCCCUUUGGCAUUCCGAGGGGCAUGCCCGUUCGAGCGUCAUUAACACCACUCAAGCCUAGCUUGGUGUUGGGCGUCGGGGACUUCCCCGCGCCUCCAUAUCGCCGGCUGGCCGUCGUCUGACUUAAGCGUUGUGACACAUGUCGCUGAAGAAGACGCCGGAUCACGCCGUUAAACCCCUUGAAUGUUCAUCGAAUGUUCAGUACAGGUUGACCUCGGAUCGGGUAGGAAUACCCGCUGA
RNAcentral lists this unclassified non-coding RNA (332 nucleotides) under uncultured fungus. RNAcentral's name for it is "partial contains 5.8S ribosomal RNA and internal transcribed spacer 2". The stretch from base 1 to 133 matches the Rfam family "5.8S ribosomal RNA", at positions 22 to 154 of the family's 154-position model. The record is from RNAcentral. Lineage: Eukaryota; Fungi.